AAAAAAAAAAACCCUAGAUUUCCGUGUCCAACUUUAACUGUCCGUCUUAUAUGAAAUUUUUUUAUAAUUCAUAUUUUUAUUGUUGUUAGAUGAUAAAACAUGAUUAAUACUUUGUGCGUGACUUGUCUUUUUAAUUUUUUUCAUAAUUUUUUCAAAUAAGACGGACGGGCAAACAUUGGACACGAAAACCAUGGUUUGUCUUUUU
This is a non-coding RNA of Oryza glumipatula, 205 nucleotides long. The record is from Rfam. NCBI's taxonomy places the organism in Eukaryota, Viridiplantae, Streptophyta, Magnoliopsida, Poales, Poaceae.